This 95-nucleotide ribosomal RNA is filed under the name Ancylostoma caninum (dog hookworm). Its description in RNAcentral is "partial 5.8S ribosomal RNA". It matches the Rfam family "5.8S ribosomal RNA", at positions 1 to 96 of the family's 154-position model. Rfam says of the family: 5.8S ribosomal RNA (5.8S rRNA) is a component of the large subunit of the eukaryotic ribosome. It is transcribed by RNA polymerase I as part of the 45S precursor that also contains 18S and 28S rRNA. Lineage: Eukaryota; Metazoa; Nematoda; Chromadorea; Rhabditida; Ancylostomatidae. The record is from RNAcentral.
CUAGCUUCAGCGAUGGAUCGGCCGAUUCGCGUAUCGAUGAAAAACGCAGCUAGCUGCGUUAUUUACCACGAAUUGCAGACGCUUAGAGUGGUGAA